Molecule: transfer RNA, 73 nt
Filed under: Phycisphaerae bacterium
Lineage: Bacteria; Pseudomonadati; Planctomycetota; Phycisphaerae
Also listed under: 1 other name
Description: tRNA-Met
Rfam family: tRNA
About the family: Transfer RNA (tRNA) molecules are approximately 80 nucleotides in length. Their secondary structure includes four short double-helical elements and three loops (D, anti-codon, and T loops).
Source: RNAcentral
AGCAGCGUAGCUCAGUUGGUAGAGCAAGGGAUUCAUAAGCCCUGGGUCCCCGGUUCGAGUCCGGGCGCUGCUA